AUCGCCAGCUUGCUGGCGAAUUGUAGUCUGCAGUGGCAACUCCUGGGUGGCGCGCGGCCGAAGCAUCUUGGAAAAGAUCGCCGCAGAGGGUGAGAGCCCCGUAGGCCAAGCAAAGCCCUUCACGGAGUGCUCACAGAGAGUCGGGUUGUUUGGGAAUGCAGCCCUAAUUGGGUGGUAAACCCCAUCUAAGGCUAAAUACCGGUGGGAGACCGAUAGCAAAAAAGUACCUCGAGGGAACGAUGAAAAGACCGCUGGCAAGCGAGUGAAAGAGUGCAUGAAAUUGUACAGUGGGAAGGGAUAGCCUGGCGUCGUGCGCCCGGGUAUACCCGGCUCGUGGAGGCGGUGAAUACACCGGGUGCGUGCAGGUGCCGACAUGCGUGGCCGGAGAUCAAGAGGCCGAGACGUCUCCCGUCACGGGCGCGCGUGUUGAGGUCGAUUGCUGCUUGUGCAAAACUGCAGCGACAUAGCACCCGCUU
This 476-nucleotide ribosomal RNA is filed under the name Siphonocladus tropicus. Its description in RNAcentral is "partial 28S ribosomal RNA". It matches the Rfam family "Eukaryotic large subunit ribosomal RNA", at positions 120 to 547 of the family's 3401-position model. Lineage: Eukaryota; Viridiplantae; Chlorophyta; Ulvophyceae; Cladophorales; Siphonocladaceae. The record is from RNAcentral.